Molecule: long non-coding RNA, 2854 nt
Filed under: Manihot esculenta (cassava)
Lineage: Eukaryota; Viridiplantae; Streptophyta; Magnoliopsida; Malpighiales; Euphorbiaceae
Description: long non-coding RNA (MESC_LNC011833)
Source: RNAcentral
AUUUUUCUUAAAAUCUAAAACUACUGGCUAUUGAAUAAAGUAGCCCAUAUUUAUAGGGGUUCUAGAGAUUAUGGUAUAACAACUAUCAACGGUUAUAUGAAGAUGACCAAAUUCUGUCAAAUAAGGAUGAGUCUUAGAGGUCCAAGUAUCGGGCAUCUAAGGAAGGAAGAUCUGUGCAAGCAAGUGUCCUUUGACCUAGUCAAAAUAGGUAUGGAUGAGUCACAAACACAUCAUUACCAUAAACCAAUGAAGAAUUAUAAACCAGUCAAAGCAUAUGGGUAAGUACUGAGUCAUAUUAGAAAUCCCUCCAUUCGUCUUUCAUUUUUUAUUUCAAAGGUCCAGUCAGCUUGCUAAACACACAGCAAAAAUCGUGUUAGUGUCAUUUCACAUUUGCUCCUUUUUGUGUGUAUGAGACGCCUCAAGUUCUGAAGUACAUUUAAUACUGGUCAUCAUUACUUCCUAUAAAUCCCCAAUUUUUGCCACUGCUACCACUUUUGCUUUACUUCUUCUCGAUUUCUGCUUUCAUCUCUUUCAACUCGUCUUCUGCCCUUCAUCCUCUCACUUUGCCUUUUUGCUCUUCGUCAUCUCAGAUUAUUGUCAUUUCCUUAUCUCCAUUGUUUCUGGUCUAUAUUUAAGAAUGAGUCAAGAAUCUUCUUCCCUUACCCAGUAAGUAUCUAUUCACACUAUUAAUAGACCCAUUCACAUCCUUGUCCAGAUUGUUUCAUUGAGAGCAAACUAAAUCGGCGGUGAAACCCUAUUGGUGAGUGAUAUAAGAUUAGUGCUGACCUAGAAAGACAUGAGUUGCUUUUAUAACCUAUACCAAAUUUCACAAGACACAUUUGAGAUCCUCGCCCUUAUGUCCAAUGUUCACCAAUGAUAGCAUUUCUACUAAAGACACCAUUAUCGUGUAUGAAGAACAACUAAAGGAGGGCAUGAGAUUUCCUAAUCAAUCCAUUCUACACUGAGAUGUUGGCCUUCCAUAAACUCUCUAUCGCCUAGCUGUACCCUACCUCAAUAAUAGCAUCGAGCCGAGUGUUGCCAUUUUCUCCCAAUUGUAUCAACUUAGAACUUGAGUUAAAGAAGAGUAAUGAUUUCUUUAGUGGAAGAAAAUGCUAAACACUUUUUCAAGAGGCUCCUUUCCUCCUUAAGGCAUUGGAAAACAAAUUUUUUAUCGCCAGACAUUGGGUGUUUGGUGGUUUUAGGAACCUUUAGGAUGAUUGGAACCUCUACGUAGGCCUAAGAAAAGAGGGAAAGAGGCCAAUCCAAGAGGAGGAAUAAGCUAUAACCUUCUCCAAAAGAUGGCUACAAGAAGAAAAAUUGACAUAAAUGUCGCUGUGAGAAAUGUCAUUCUCGCAUGGCAAGCCCCAUAACAGGCCAAGCUGGUGAGGGACUCGAGGCCGAGCACUCGAUCAACUACUUGAGCCAACUUACUACCUUAAUAGGACUAGAGUAUUUUACUUAAACUUUAAACCUUAAUAUGCUAUACUUACUCACUUAUGUCUUACCCAAAUAUGGCUAACAAGGAUAAGUGGGCCAAGGUUGGUUAUGCUACCAGGAAGGGCAAAUCACCUACUACUAAGUAUAAGCUCCACUAGUCAAGUGUCAGCACCAUUUAGGAGUCUCGACCAUACCAGUCGUGAUGUAGGCUCUUCUAGCUCCAAUUUUCCAAGCCGUUCCUUCUCUAGUAGCCUCGAGCAUUAUUCAGAGGAAUGCUCCUCCUCCAUCUCCACCUCCUCAUGAUCCUUUACUGAGGUAAAUAAAGGUGGGAACAAGCUCUCCAUAGCCAAGGAGCGAUCAAAAGCUUGCCUUACCCUCACCAAUGUAGAGUUGCUACUUAAAGAGCCUUGCCUUUCCCUUUUGAUUGCCAAGAACACUUUGAUCCCCAAUGAUUAUGAGCAGCUGGGGUAGUUUGAAAUUGAUGAACUGUACAAUAAUGCCAUCCACACAGCCAUAUAAUGCAUUGUGUCAUGCUUCCUAGCAAAGGAAAGAGAUAGAUCUUUGAGGAGGAACUUUAGGACUCUGGAAACAGAGAAAAACAUCGUUUGGAGGAGAGCCAGAGACUCAAUGCCUGGAUGGAGGAGGUGGAAGGGACGAUUAAAGAAACAUUGGAGUCGAUGGAUAAAGUCCAAACUAACCUAGACCAAGUAAACUCCUAGAAGGCUAAGCUUGAAAUCAAAGCGUAAGCUAUUGAGGAGAAAGCUCAGGAGCUGGGGAGGCAAGUGCAGGUGAUGGAGGCAUAGGCUACGGAGGCUUGGGCAGCUGUCACCAGGGUACUAGAGUUGGAAAAAAAACUGGAGGAAGCAGUGGCUUGAGGAGGGAGCUUAUAUGUGGAGGCCCAAGAGGCUAUUAAGAAGGAAAUGGCUAUUCACUCCCCUACUAAGGGCUUCUCUUGGAUCGAUGAUUUGGUCCUAGAGGAUGAAAAGGAAGAGAAAGACAAGGUUGACCAUAGUAACGUAGACCUCAUAGUUGAAAAUAACAAUGUAAAUAUAGAAACUCGAGGGGAGGAGAAUGAAGACGCUCUUGCCUAAUAGAUUGUACAGUUUGUCAAUUCAUGAAAAUCAAACUAUUUUCCUUAUUAUAAUUAUUUUCUUUUCAUGCCUUUUACCUUUUUUGUGACAAAUCAAACAUAUUUCAUUCUCAUCUGAUGGACUAAUUUUAGGAGCUAUCAUCCAUACUCCCCUAUCGGACAAAUCAGACCAGACUUGAUAAUUCUUUUAGGGACUAACACCUAAUAAGACCUUGUUGUGCUUUGGCAUCUUAAUGCUAUAACUUUUAUAGACUAACACUUAAGAAUUGCCUAUCAAUGACCCGCUUUGUGGUGCUUGGUAGCUUAAUGCCUUGAUAAUCUUUCUAG